This 86-nucleotide transfer RNA is filed under the name Candidatus Aenigmatarchaeota archaeon. RNAcentral describes it as "tRNA-Gly". It matches the Rfam family "tRNA". From Rfam's summary of the family: Transfer RNA (tRNA) molecules are approximately 80 nucleotides in length. Their secondary structure includes four short double-helical elements and three loops (D, anti-codon, and T loops). Further hydrogen bonds mediate the characteristic L-shaped molecular structure. tRNAs have two regions of fundamental functional importance: the anti-codon, which is responsible for specific mRNA codon recognition, and the 3' end, to which the tRNAs corresponding amino acid is attached (by aminoacyl-tRNA synthetases). tRNAs cope with the degeneracy of the genetic code in two manners: having more than one tRNA (with a specific anti-codon) for a particular amino acid; and 'wobble' base-pairing, i.e. permitting non-standard base-pairing at the 3rd anti-codon position. The record is from RNAcentral. Lineage: Archaea; Nanobdellati; Candidatus Aenigmatarchaeota.
GCGACCGUAGUCUAGUGGUUCCUUCGGGCACGACAGGAUCUCGGCUUCCCAAGCCGGUGACCCGGGUUCAAAUCCCGGCGGUCGCA